This 944-nucleotide long non-coding RNA is filed under the name Rattus norvegicus (Norway rat). RNAcentral's name for it is "long non-coding RNA NONRATT009384". Lineage: Eukaryota; Metazoa; Chordata; Mammalia; Rodentia; Muridae. The record is from RNAcentral.
CAUAGUGGAGCAUGUGUCUUUGUUGUACGUUGGAACAUCUUUUGGGUAUAUGCCCAGGAGAGAUAAAGCUGGGUGCUCAGGUACUGCAAUGUCCAAUAUUCUGAGGAACCUCCAGACUGAUUUCCAGAAUGGUUGUACCCAUUUUCAAUCCCAGCAACAAUGGAGGAGUGUUCCUCUUUCUCCACAUCCUUGCCAGCAUCUAUUUUCACCUGAGUUUUUGAUCUAAGCCAUUCUGACUGGUGUGAUGUGGAAUCUCAGGGUUGUUUUGAUUUGUAUUUCCCCGAUGACCAAGGAUGUUGAACAUUUCUUUAGGUACUUCUCAACCAUUUGAUAUUCUUCAUCUGAGAAUUCUUUGUUUAGCUAAGUACCCCAUUUUUAAAAUAGGGUUAUUUGAUUCUCUGGAGUCUAACUUUGUGAGUUCUUUGUAUAUUUUGUAUAUUAACCUUCUAUCAGAUGUAGGAUUGGUAAAGAUUUUUUUUCCCAAUCCAAACAGUACCUAAACACUGUAAAAGUACAAGACAAGGUUGUCUCAAUGGGUGUAGCGAUAUUGGAAGAGUGUGAAAGAAGAGAAACCAACACAAGACUGGGUGGUCCUUUGAAAGCACACCAGGUACAAUGAACAGAAAAUAAAAGAGGGGCUAGAGAAAUGACUUGGCAUUUAAUACAUCUUGCUGUUCUUGUGAGUGAGCUGGGUUUGGUUCUCAGCACCCACAUGGAGCCUCACAGUCACAUGCUGCUCUGGUUCUAGGGCUUCUAGUGCACCCUACUGUCCUCUGUAGGCACCAGAACACACAAGGGCUAGAUGUGUGCAAACAAAAGCAACCACAGAUUAAAAAAAAUAAUUUCUUUAAAGAAACAGAGGAAUAGACGAGAGAAGGGAAAAGAGAUGAAAAUCUCAAAAAAAAUCAAUGUGCAAAGAAAUCAUUUUUCUAUUUAUUUCUCUC